This 3108-nucleotide long non-coding RNA is filed under the name Homo sapiens (human). RNAcentral's name for it is "non-protein coding lnc-AKAP14-1:4". The record is from RNAcentral. Lineage: Eukaryota; Metazoa; Chordata; Mammalia; Primates; Hominidae.
AGCUUUUGCAAGGGGCGUGUUAGGUUUCUUGCAACUUGCACCUGAGCAUCCAGAGUGCUCUGCAAAUCCCAGCCCCAAACUUCUGCUUCCACAGAUCUCCUGGAGAGCGUGGCGCACUCAACUUUCUGGACAUUGCUGCAAAAACCUAGCAUGCAGCCUCUGACUUCAUCAUUUCAUCUUAAUUACGGUCCGAUUCGCGGACUUUGGGUGGGAACAGACCAGAGCUAGAGAGACUCAUCCAUUAGUUACUAACUACCCAGAGGGGAGAGCAGUGCUGGCAGUCCAAAUUGCAAGGUGCGCUGCCUUCAGCGUGCGGCGUCUUCGCCCUGGAGAAGCAUUACGCUGGCCCGCCUGCCUCCAGGGCCACACGGAAACGUGUUCUGCAAACUUUCUCCAAGGGCUCGGGGGCUAGAUUGUGUCUCGCUCCGCUGCCUCUCCCCCUGCCUCAAUUUCGACUCCUGCCAGACAGCUCAGCCCCUCCCUCUGGCAGUCACCCCGCCCGGAGUGGGAGUGGUCAACGAAGCUGCAAAAUGGAUCGCAAGUCCCCACACACGUCCGACCCCUCCCCGCGCCCUGACCACGAACGCAUCCCUGACUUAACCGCCACACUCGGGCCGUGAGCGCCUGCCAGCAGGGCCUUCCGCCACACACACACACACACACACCGCAAGCAGCGGCGACCAGGGCAGGAGCCCACUCCCCGCCACCUGCAGGCGUCGGACCCGAAGUCCACGAGCCGGAACUCAGAGCAGGAGCCGAAGGACCCCAGCGCAGAAUCCGUGGAGGCGCACGGCUUCAUCCACCGCGCUCCCAGAUGGGGUCCCAGCCCAGAUCCGGCCACGAAGACACAGGCAACCCCGGCCUGGGUUUCCUGUUCCAUGAGCUCCAGGAAGGCGACAAUGCGAAGGCUGUAGGGACUUUGGUGACUGAAGCUGGAGGAGACGAGGAGAAGAAAAUACGGUCCAAACCCGAGCAGGGAGCUGGAGCAGAAGAAGAAAGUCACUUCUGUGCGGGAGCUGCCGACCCCACGAUCAAGGAUAACCAGAAGCGCGGCGGUGGCGACCAGGAGCCCUCGCAGCAGCAGCCUGAGGCUUCCAGCCCAGGACUCCUCCGCGGAGGAGCCACAACCCCAAUAUUAGCGGCGUCUCUUCAGCCCCAGUGCGUUCAGCAGGUUGCACCUGAAGGAGCUAGACAGCAUUUUCCCACGCUCUGAAUAUCUCGACGUGUUCGCUCGAAAGCAGCUUGCAAUCUGCAUGGAUGUGAGUGAAGCCGAAGUGGAAGCCAGUAAGCCUGAUGAAAGCAAUUGGUCAGAGUAGCCACUCUCUGAAACCUGCCUCAGUCCUUGAAUACCUUUGUCCUACACAUUCUCCAAUUGGCCUGUUUUUGUUGCCUUUUCUAUGUUUGCCAAGUGAGUUUUGAACUUUAGCGGGGGAAUAAUGGGAUACAUAAACCUUAGCCUAUGGAAAUUUCCCAUUACCAGAGGGAAUAUGCUUUCUAAUGCGAAACAGAACUAAACUGUUACUUCUAUUUCCUGUACAAGGUUAAGUGUAAAUAAAGUUCCAUUCCUUCUAACAAUGGUAUCCUUUAGAGAACACUUCUGUGUGGAGUUAUGUUGGGACUGAGUCUGACUUGAGGAGUUUGCAAAUUAAUGCACCAAGGACCCAUUAUAUGAGUAAUUAAUGUAUGUUUAGUUUCACUGAGACUUAUGGGGAGGACAUAGCUUAAAAGUCCAAGUGCCUGGUAGUCCUGCUGUUGUUUUUAAGGGUCUGAUGAAGCCAUGUAGAAAGUGGCAGCCCGCAAUUUUGAUUUUCUCCAAUACUUUUAUUUGUAAGCCGGAAUACACUGCUAAUAUACUUGCAUUACACUGGGGGUGUGGGGGGGCAGGUUUGCAAACAGGAAAUUUGUUUAAAAAUUGGAAUAAAAAAGAACAAUUUUGAAAAAGUUUUCACUUAACUAAGAAGGGUGAAAAGGUUAAAGAAAAAUUGCAUACACUCAAAUAUAUACCUUGAAGGUAUGGCACAAAUGGAGCUCUAUGAGGGAAUAUUCUCUUUAGGAAUUUCUGACAACUAAGAAGUUUUUUUUAUGUUACUGUUUUAAACUGGUGGGUUUUAUGUAAUUUGUUUGGUGGUGGGGUGGGGCACGCUCAAUUUAGACCAGGUUCUUACCUGUGCUAAUUUGAAAUGGUUUUUCAUUUUCCCAGGCAGUGGUGAUUAAUUUGUAAGUCAUGAGAUCAAGAAAUUACUAAGAUUCCUUCAGUAUUAUUGACUGAGUAUAUUUUCAAAACAAAGAGAAAAUCCAGGAUUAGGUUAUGAGCAGUGCUGUGCAGUUCAUGUGAGUGCAGUGAUGGGCCCCCCAUGACUAAGCCUUUUUUUUCAGACCAUCUUUUUCACUCUCAAGAGUUUUCAGAGGAUGAAGUCUGGCCCAGUGGCUCACGCCUGUAAUCCCAGCAAUUUGGGAGGCCAAGGCAGGCAGAUCACGCGAGGUCAGGAGUUCGAGACCAGCCUGGCCAACAUGGUGAAACCCCAUGGUGAAAAUACAAAAAUUACCUGGACUUGGUAGCGCACCACUGUAGUCCCACCUACUAGGUGUAGCAUGAGGCAGGUGGAUCGCUUGAACCUGACAGGCAGAGGUUGCAGUGAGCCAAGAUCGUGCCACUGCACUCUAAAUCUGGGUGACAGAGCAAGACCCUGUCUCAAAAAAAAAAAAAAAAAAAAAAAAAUUUCAGAGGAUGAAUGGCCCCUUAGGCAUCCUUUACGAAACCUGAUUAAAGAUCCAGCCUGCUCCUAUUGAUGUAGUUACUUCAGACUGAAGAUGGGCUUUUCAAACGGGGUUGCAGUGUGUAAAGAUCCGGCCAUUGCACUCCAGCCUGGGUGACAGAGUGAGACUCCGUCUCAAAAACCACAACAAAAAAGAAACUUUAGAAAGCAAAACCCCCAAUUUUUUUGAUUACUAUAGAAUGCAGAAGCUCCUGGACUCUUCCCGAGAUUGUGUUCAUAACUUUUCAGCUGAAACUAACAUCUGUGAAGACCAUCUAUCUUGGGUGAACCUAUUUUCUGGUAACCAGUGUUAAAUAUUUUUUAAUAAAUAAAAAUUUUAAACUUGUAUUAG